GCAGGCGGUUUCUUAAGUCUGAUGUGAAAGCCCCCGGCUCAACCGGGGAGGGUCAUUGGAAACUGGGAAACUUGAGUGCAGAAGAGGAGAGUGGAAUUCCACGUGUAGCGGUGAAAUGCGUAGAGAUGUGGAGGAACACCAGUGGCGAAGGCGACUCUCUGGUCUGUAACUGACGCUGAGGAGCGAAAGCGUGGGGAGCGAACAGGAUUAGAUACCCUGGUAGUCCACGCCGUAAACGAUGAGUGCUAAGUGUUAGGGGGUUUCCGCCCCUUAGUGCUGCAGCUAACGCAUUAAGCACUCCGCCUGGGGAGUACGGUCGCAAGACUGAAACUCAAAGGAAUUGACGGGGGCCCGCAC
Molecule: ribosomal RNA, 357 nt
Filed under: Bacillus pumilus
Lineage: Bacteria; Bacillati; Bacillota; Bacilli; Caryophanales; Bacillaceae
Also listed under: 2 other names
Description: bacterial SSU rRNA
Rfam family: Bacterial small subunit ribosomal RNA
Source: RNAcentral